GAUGAACGCUGGCGGCGUGCCUAAUACAUGCAAGUCGAGCGAACAGAUGAGGAGCUUGCUCCUCUGACGUUAGCGGCGGACGGGUGAGUAACACGUGGAUAACCUACCCAUAAGACUGGGAUCACUUCGGGAAACCGGAGCUAAUACCGGAUAAUAUAUUGAACCGCAUGGUUCAAUAGUGAAAGACGGUUUUGCUGUCACUUCUAGAUGGAUCCGCGCCGCAUUAGCUAGUUGGUAAGGUAACGGCUUACCAAGGCGACGAUGCGUAGCCGACCUGAGAGGGUGAUCGGCCACACUGGAACUGAGACACGGUCCAGACUCCUACGGGAGGCAGCAGUAGGGAAUCUGACGCAAUGGGCGAAAGCCUGACGGAGCAAGGCCGCGUGAGUGAUGAAGGUCUUCGGAUCGUAAAACUCUGUUAUUAGGGAAGAACAAAUGUGUAAGUAACUAUGCACGUCUUGACGGUACCUAAUCAGAAAGCCACGGCUAACUACGUG
RNAcentral lists this ribosomal RNA (497 nucleotides) under uncultured bacterium. RNAcentral describes it as "partial 16S ribosomal RNA". It matches the Rfam family "Bacterial small subunit ribosomal RNA", at positions 28 to 507 of the family's 1533-position model. The record is from RNAcentral.